GCCGGGCGUGGUGGUGUGUGCCUGUAAUCCCAGCUACUUGGGAGGCUGAGGCAGGAGAAUAGCUUGAACCCGGGAGGCAGAGGUUGCAGUGAGCCGAGAUCGUGCCACUGCACUCCAGCCUGGGUGACAGAGCGAGACUCCGUCUGAAAAGGCAAAAAAAAAGAAAUUGAAACUCAUAUUAAAAGUUUCUUUUUCUUUCUUUUUUUUUUUUUUUGAGGCAGAGUCUUACUCUUGUCGCUCAGGCUGGAAUGCAGUGGCUCAAUCUCGGCUCACUGCAACCUCUGCCUCUCGGGUUCAAGUGAUUAUCCUGCCUCAG
Homo sapiens (human) is the source of this 316-nucleotide non-coding RNA. The record is from Rfam. NCBI's taxonomy places the organism in Eukaryota, Metazoa, Chordata, Mammalia, Primates, Hominidae.